Long non-coding RNA from Eriocheir sinensis (Chinese mitten crab), 402 nucleotides. RefSeq lists it as uncharacterized. The transcript is spliced from 3 exons. Lineage: Eukaryota; Metazoa; Arthropoda; Malacostraca; Decapoda; Varunidae. The record is from RefSeq and is a predicted model, not a curated record.
UCGCGCGGGGGAGAGAGGAAAAGAACGCGGUGCUCCGUGCUGCCCCUUGUUAUCCCUGCUAUCCACGUGCCCCCCCUUGUUAUCCUCGUGCUCCCGGCCUUGUAGCGGUGCCGUGGCGGGGCGUGUAGGCGUUGACAUCACUCACGGUCAACGGCACUGCCCAUACACUCAGUCCACCCUGGCGGGGACCUCACCAAUGACCUCCAUGAAAACAGGGUCCCAGACAAGCCAGUUGGUCUGAAGGCCGUGGCGCUGACUGACCACAUCAGGGUGUGCUGGCAGCCCCCCGCACAGCACAAUGUGCUGCUGUGCGGCUACACCAUUGCCUGGGACCAAGGCGUGGCGGACAUCUACUCCAAGAUCGUGGACAGCAAGCAGCGCGGUUACAUCAUUGAUAAGCUG